UAGUCCACGCCGUAAACGAUGGAUACUAGCUGUCCGGGUCCUUGAGACCUGGGCGGCCAAGCGAAAGUGAUAAGUAUCCCACCUGGGGAGUACGUUCGCAAGAAUGAAACUCAAAGGAAUUGACGGGGGCCCGCACAAGCGGUGGAGCAUGUGGUUUAAUUCGAUGAUACGCGAGGAACCUUACCAGGGCUUAAAUGUAGGUUGCAUUAGCUAGAGAUAGCUAAUUUCUUCGGACUACUUACAAGGUGCUGCAUGGUUGUCGUCAGCUCGUGCCGUGAGGUGUCAGGUUAAGUCCUAUAACGAGCGCAACCCUUGUCGUUAGUUGCCAGCAUUUAAAGAUGGGGACUCUAACGAGACUGCCGGUGCAAACCGAGAGGAAGGUGGGGAUGACGUCAAAUCAUCACGGCCCUUACGUCCUGGGCCACACACGUGCUACAAUGGCCGGUACAGAGAGCAGCCAUGCUGUAAAGCAGAGCGAAUCUACAAAGCCGGUCACAGUUCGG
This 503-nucleotide ribosomal RNA is filed under the name uncultured bacterium. Its description in RNAcentral is "bacterial SSU rRNA". It matches the Rfam family "Bacterial small subunit ribosomal RNA", at positions 791 to 1296 of the family's 1533-position model. The record is from RNAcentral.